RNAcentral lists this long non-coding RNA (1231 nucleotides) under Homo sapiens (human). RNAcentral's name for it is "HSALNT0389309". Lineage: Eukaryota; Metazoa; Chordata; Mammalia; Primates; Hominidae. The record is from RNAcentral.
CAUUCUGACCUCACACCUCAUCCCACCCUGGCCCAGACAGGCCACUUGCUAUUUAUGGCCCUGCCUUAAAAAGUGUUGAAGAAGUAGCAUCCAAGAACUAAAAUAAUAACUAUUAUUAUAAUAGCCAACAUCUGCACAGCACCUCAAAUAUUGCAAGGUGUUAUUUGCAUAGAUUAUCUCAACUAUGCAUCACAAUGAACCUGGUGCUAUGUUCAUUAUUAUUACAUCACAGAGGCUUAAUUGGGCCCUUACAGAAGACCUAGUCCAGGGAUACUUGGCUCUUGCAUGUUAAUGUAUCAGCCAACACCUCUCCUGUGCACCUAUGGCAGACAUCAUUAAUCCAUCAAGGCACUCUCCUGUUUAGCCCAGUCCCUGCUUCAGAGCUCUUCUCAGUAUUGUGACCCAGACAGCGGCUACCCAUCAACCAGACUGCCACACAGGACAGAAAUCUAGAUUAUUACAUAAUCCAUCUUGAGAAUUUAGAAGAAUAAUAUCGCCCUCGUGCCUGGCUUAUAUAGAAAAAGGGACAGCAAGAAGACAGAUAAAGUGGAGCACAGAAAGAAGGAUGAAAUGAAAAUUAUUUGUCUAUUUUAGACAAGCAAUUUUCUCUAAUGUUCUGUUCUCUUGUUUGGUUGUUCUAGUGAGAGCUCAAGGACCUUUUAAGGUGGAACGAAUCUGGGGGUUGUUCUGGGGGAGGCAGUUAGCCUUGGGUACCUGGAAAUAUGGGUAGGAAAAGCUGGGAACAGAGCCCAGGAGGAACCAAGUGUCCAAUGCCAACACCUGGGCCCAGAGGCCCCACUGCACACCCCACCUGGCCCUGGAAGGGAGAGGACAGAUAAAAUUCGGAGAUUUCAUCAUGUCAGACGUGGAGUUGGGUUCUUUUCACCUGCAUGAAAAUACUGCAAAGUACUCAUAAUGUCUCCAUUUUACAGAUGAGCAAACUGAGGCUCAGAGAAAUUAUACUGUCUUUGGCUUCAUCUAGGGACUUCUCAUUCUAGAAGGAAAAAAACACAAUUUAAUCCAAAACUCUCAAAACUACCAAGAAGAGCCAGGUGCACAGGAACACUGGGAGCCAGCCAAUUUCUCGCCGACAUCAGAACACCUGGGUUUUAGUCCUGCCACUGGUUCUCUCCCAGUAUGACUCUAAGUGAGUCUUGUGACUCCUCUGGGCCUCAGUUUACCCAUCUGUAGAAUCAAAUGGCAAAAUGGGCCGGGUGUGGUGGCUCACGCC